This 346-nucleotide long non-coding RNA is filed under the name Musa acuminata (dwarf banana). Its description in RNAcentral is "long non-coding RNA (MACU_LNC010667)". The record is from RNAcentral. Lineage: Eukaryota; Viridiplantae; Streptophyta; Magnoliopsida; Zingiberales; Musaceae.
UUUUUUCUUCUUCUUCUUCCCCCUUUUUUUUCCUCUUCUUCUUUCUUUCUUUCUCUGUUCAUCCACAUAGCUGCCUUCUCUGGUUCCUUAAGAACGAAGGCAGAGAGGCUUAAACGGUGGGAUUUGUAUUUUUAUGUAUUUUACAGUUUAGUCCUUGUAUUAUUAUAUUUACGAUUAGGUCCUUAGGGUUUACAUAUAGGUCCUCAAAACUUUUUUUUUUUUUUUUGAACAAAUCCCCUAAAUCUUAUGAAUAAGUUCUCAGAUUCAUACUUUGGCUCUUUUAUCAAAUUUAAAAUAGAUACUUACAUUAUAACUAGAAACUUAUACGAAAAUUUCGAUAAUGAGG